GAUGAAGAACGCAGUGAAAUGCGAUAAGUAAUGUGAAUUGCAGAAUUCAGUGAAUCAUCGAAUCUUUGAACGCAUCUUGCGCUCCUUGGUAUUCUGAGGAGCAUGCCUGUUUGAGUGUCAUUAAAUUCUCAACUACACUGACUUUGAAUUGGUGUGGCUUGGAUUUGGGGGGAAAAUUGUUGUGGGCUUUUUGUAUAGUCUGCUCCCCUGAAAUUGAUUAGCGGUACCUUUGUGGAACUGUCUACAGGUGUGAUAAUUAUCUACAUCUUAGACAUCUGCUGGAAUGCUGCUCUCUAAACCUUACUUGUAUUGACAAUCUUGACCUCAAAUCAGGUAGGACUACCCGCUGAACUCAAGCAUAUCAAUAAGCGGAGGA
RNAcentral lists this unclassified non-coding RNA (376 nucleotides) under soil metagenome. Its description in RNAcentral is "partial contains 5.8S ribosomal RNA, internal transcribed spacer 2, and large subunit ribosomal RNA". The stretch from base 1 to 120 matches the Rfam family "5.8S ribosomal RNA", at positions 35 to 154 of the family's 154-position model. The record is from RNAcentral.